RNAcentral lists this long non-coding RNA (412 nucleotides) under Olea europaea subsp. europaea. Lineage: Eukaryota; Viridiplantae; Streptophyta; Magnoliopsida; Lamiales; Oleaceae. The record is from RNAcentral.
AUUUUUUAAUAAGGUGGGUCUAUGUAUAGCUUUAAUCUUUUAACUAUUAUAUAAGCUAAGCCAAACACGCUGCUCAAAUAAUUACACAAUCGACAAUUUGGUAAUAAUUAACAGGCAAAAAUGACACCAAACCCAAUCAAAAGAGCAAAUAAUUGUAGAUUCCAACUUCCGAGGGAAUUAGAUUUUGCCACGUGGCCCAGGCUUGGGUGGAAGUUGUGGGCCCUUGACAAAUGGAAAAAUGUCCCCUGUUGCGGUGGAGCUAAAGUAAGCAAGGGCGGAGCCACCUCCAAAUAUCAAGAACUUGAGCAAUAGACCUCUCUUGGUGGUGGAGCUGCAAAUGUCUCGAAGAACUUGCUCUGCAAUAGUAAAUCGAUACAGUAAUAAAAAUUGGUUCCUGAGCACACGAAGUUUU